This 468-nucleotide ribosomal RNA is filed under the name uncultured Alphaproteobacteria bacterium. Its description in RNAcentral is "partial 16S ribosomal RNA". Lineage: Bacteria; Pseudomonadati; Pseudomonadota; Alphaproteobacteria. The record is from RNAcentral.
GUACCGCGGCUGCUGGCACGGAGUUAGCCGGGGUUUCUUUACCAGGUACUGUCAUUAUCAUCCCUGGCGAAAGAGCUUUACGACCCUAAGGCCUUCAUCACUCACGCGGCAUGGCUGGAUCAGGCUUGCGCCCAUUGUCCAAGAUUCCCCACUGCUGCCUCCCGUAGGAGUCUGGGCCGUGUCUCAGUCCCAGUGUUGCUGAUCAUCCUCUAAAACCAGCUAUAGAUCGUAGACUUGGUAGGCCAUUACCCCACCAACUAUCUAAUCUAACGCGGGCCGAUCCUUCUCCGAUAAAUCUUUCCCCCGAAGGGCGCAUAAGGCAUUAGUCAUCGUUUCCAAUGGUUAUUCCUUAGAGAAGGGCACGUUCCCACGCGUUACUAACCCGUCCGCCGCUCACCCCGAAGGGCGCGCUCGACUUGCAUGUGUUAGGCCUGCCGCCAGCGUUCGUUCUGAGCCAUGAUCNAACUC